RNAcentral lists this ribosomal RNA (223 nucleotides) under uncultured bacterium. Its description in RNAcentral is "partial 16S ribosomal RNA". It matches the Rfam family "Bacterial small subunit ribosomal RNA", at positions 109 to 334 of the family's 1533-position model. The record is from RNAcentral.
AGUAAUGUCUGGGAAACUGCCUGAUGGAGGGGGGUAACUACUGGAAACGGUAGCUAAUACCGCAUAACGUCGCAAGACCAAAGUGGGGGGACCUUCGGGCCUCAUGCCAUCAGAUGUGCCCAGAUGGGAUUAGCUAGUAGGUGGGGUAACGGCUCACCUAGGCGACGAUCCCUAGCUGGUCUGAGAGGAUGACCAGCCACACUGGAACUGAGACACGGUCCAG